Molecule: ribosomal RNA, 254 nt
Filed under: uncultured bacterium
Lineage: Bacteria
Description: partial 16S ribosomal RNA
Rfam family: Bacterial small subunit ribosomal RNA
Source: RNAcentral
UACGUAGGGCGCAAGCGUUUAUCCGGAAUUAUUGGGCGUAAAGAGCUCGUAGGCGGUUUGUCGCGUCUGCUGUGAAAACUGGGGGCUCAACCCCCAGCCUGCAGUGGGUACGGGCAGACUAGAGUGCGGUAGGGGAGAUUGGAAUUCCUGGUGUAGCGGUGGAAUGCGCAGAUAUCAGGAGGAACACCGAUGGCGAAGGCAGAUCUCUGGGCCGUAACUGGACGCUGAGGAGCGAAAGCUGGGGAGCGAACAGG